CCCUCCUUAGCUCAGUUGGUUAGAGCGCAUGACUGUUAAUCAUGCCCCGAUAGCUAUCGGGGUUGGUUCGAGCCCAAGAGGGGGAG
Molecule: transfer RNA, 86 nt
Filed under: Natronocytophaga cellulosiphila
Lineage: Bacteria; Pseudomonadati; Bacteroidota; Cytophagia; Cytophagales; Cytophagaceae
Description: Cytophagaceae bacterium ABcell3 tRNA-Asn
Rfam family: tRNA
About the family: Transfer RNA (tRNA) molecules are approximately 80 nucleotides in length.
Source: RNAcentral